Long non-coding RNA from Brassica oleracea var. oleracea, 770 nucleotides. RefSeq lists it as uncharacterized. NCBI's taxonomy places the organism in Eukaryota, Viridiplantae, Streptophyta, Magnoliopsida, Brassicales, Brassicaceae. The transcript is spliced from 3 exons. The record is from RefSeq and is a predicted model, not a curated record.
UUGAGAGUAUUGUGGUCUAGGGCAAGUUAGUCCUCUGAAGGCUCGAGGCACAGCGCUAGGAUCAUUGUGCAGACCAAUGCUGAUGGAAAGCUCCAUGCUGAUUUUGAGGAGUCAGGCAGUUCCUUUGAUUACUCAACCUCAGUACGUAGGCGUAACUGGCCCAGUUGUGGAGAAGAUGAGAAGCUUUCCUUUGAUCUUUACCUUGUGUGGCUCCACCCUUAGAGCACCUCAAUAGCAUCUCUAGUUAUGCCGGUUGUAGUUAACGGGGAGGAUGCACCUGAUUCUACUGCACCUCAAAAGAGAAAGAGACUAUGGGUUUUGGUGGUUAGUCCCCUUUCCUCUCAGGUUUUGUCUCACAGAGCCCCAAGUGAAAUGUGAUGGAGCAGCUCUCUUGUAAUAAAGACAAGAGAUAGCUUCUUGGUUGUCUCUGAGUACCACACCGAUUCAACUGGUUUGAGCACUGAUAGCUUGCAUGACAGCUGGGUGUCUUAGAGCUCUUGGGGAUUCAGUAUGCCGCUAUGAGUCAAAAGCAUCAUUGAAGAGUGCUUGGAUCUUAAAAUAAAAGAGUUCAGCUUAAACAAGUGUUAAGUAAUGAUGAAGAAUAAUGGAAAGAGCGUUCGUGUAACAAAUGAAACCAAGGAAGAAGUAAUGUCUGUAUGGAGACAGUAUUAGGAGGCUUCAGCAAGUUCUUGCAGAUAUCAUGCUGAUAUGUCUGUUAUCUUCACACCAUCCGGAGGUCAGAUUCCUCGAGGAAAGACCAGCUCGGAAGA